Molecule: long non-coding RNA, 260 nt
Organism: Neofelis nebulosa (Clouded leopard)
Lineage: Eukaryota; Metazoa; Chordata; Mammalia; Carnivora; Felidae
Exons: 2
Source: RefSeq, a predicted model, not a curated record
GCUAAACAGUGAGAUAGUUUCCUAAGAGGAAACUAUGAACCAAUUAGGAGAAGAGAAGUGGCAGAAUUCACACCUCAUAUAUAUACAUGCCCUAUCACUCAGGUCAUGAUCUCGUGGUUGAUGAGUUUGAGCCCCGCAGUGGGCUCUGUGCUGACAGCAUGGAGAGACACCUUAGGAUUCUCCGUCUCCCUCUCUCUCUGGCUCUUCCUCACUUGAGCAGGUAUGUACACACACACACACACACUCUCUCUCUCUCUCUC